UCCAUUCAAGGGAAUAAAAAUUGAGCCCACAUCUCUCCAUAGUAUUCACAAAGACAGACUUCCAUCUCAUUUACAAAGAGAGCAGAGGAGUUAUUGUCAUGCCAUUGCCUGGAUGACCUUGAACAAAUCAGUCAGCCAUCCUGUGCCUCUGUAUCCUCAUUAUGGAGUUGCACUAGUUAGCUUUUGGGGUCUAUUCCACCUUUAGAGCUGUGAUACUAAUGAAUGUUCAGAAAUACUGUCUACGGCACUCCCUUGACCUGCCAAUAUUCUUAUUUGUUGUUGUUGUUGUUUGCCCUCCAUAUUUCAAGAGGACCAUGACAUCAGGAAGGUGAUACUAUGAAUUGGAAGUGAAUAGGAUUUAAAAGAGGGAGGGCUGUGCAAGGUCAUCAGCCUCACUUCAUCCUUUGAAGCCAUCUGGGUGCAGUGACAAGAUAUAGAUCAGGAUGGCUGGAGAUGGCCCCUGCCUUGCAAAUAUAGAAACUCUUCAAGAGAGGAAAUUAAGCCAAAACUCCAUCUGAAGACUGGCCUGUUGGCCAGAAUGUUCACUAUUUGCCUAUGUCAGGGAAGAGAAGUGUGGUUGCUGAAAGAUAACAAAUAAAUUCAAGCAAGGAAAACUAACAAACUCCACUUUUGAAGAAAUAAGCUCUCAGAUAAAAUGUAGAGGAGAAGCAUAGUCGGAGGACCAGACAGAGAACCUCAGGCAUUUGCCAGUGAGAAGAAAGAAUUGCUUGCUGAUGGACUGGAGAAAAGCUGAAAUUGUUGUUGCAUGCUCAUUGGCUGAGAGUUGAAUUCUGUUCCUGGGUGAAGAACUAUUCAGCCUGUUGUUCUGUGCCCCCUUUCUGGUUUGAGAGGGAAGAAUAGAGAGAAAACCAGAGGCUUUGUGUCUGUUUUUCUCUAAGUUGUGCUCUGCUGUAAGAAGAGGCUUAGAGCUGCCUAGACAAAGCAGAAUCCCUUGCUAUUUGCAGAUCUGAGGAAUCUGGCAGUUCUCGGUAUUAGAAGUGGAUUUUUAAGAGCUGAGUGGCUUGUUAAGAGAUGACAUAACUAGCUGUUUUGCUUUGUAUUUGACAUUGCCUCAGUGGGUACUGCAGGCUCAACUUACAACAAGUUACCUUACCUCACUAUCUUCUCCAUUAUCAACUCCAACUGUUUGGGCUGGAUUUGGACUCAAGUCUUCUUGACUCUAUCCUAUCCACAGUGCCCCCAGCUGUUUCCAGACAAAAUGUUUAUGGGUAUUGAAGGAAAAUUUGUACCAUGGCCAAAUUGUGAGACACACUAUCAUUCUCAGCCCUGAGAAUAGUUUUGUCCUAGAGGUGUUAUUAAUUUACUAGGUUAGGAUCUUUUAUGUACAUUUUGGGCCACAUUACACUGUAGUGCUUAGGUGAUAAACAUGGACUUGGUGAUUUCCCAUGUGCAGGGUCUUCUGACUUCCCUGAAGAAUACUCCAGGUCACUCCAGAAAAGUCCUUGAAGAAUUUGUUACUGUCUAUCCACCUCUGCCUCCCCCCCCCCGGCAGUGAUUAAUAAUAACAAAAAGAUCCAUUUAAUUCUGAAAUAAUCCAACAAUUCAUUGAAAUGCAAUAAGCACCCACUGGAAGUUACAUACUUCUUAUCAUCCUCAGUCCUCAGGGCAUAAUGAAGAAAUGAAUCUAUCACUCAAAACUAGAUUGGCAGAUUUUUCCAGGAUCCUAAGCUAAAGCAGAUAGAUGCAUUACCUUUGACUUUGUUUUCUUUAAGCGACACCCAAGAUGGAACUUAAAAUCUUACCCGUGGAACUACUGUUGGUGAAAUCUGUGCCAAUUUCAUUGACUCAUACCUUCACCCUAAAGGAGGUUGAGGAUUCAGUACAAUAUGUUCUAUCCUCACAGCCCCAGUCAUCCUCUCUCCACAGAUACAUUGUUUUACAAUAGCAGACACUCUGAAUGUCUCUGCCCAUAAGAUUCAACCAGGAGAUUGGGUCUAGAUGGAAAAAAUGGAAAAAGUAGCCUCUGCAGCCCAAGUCAGGUACAUCUGACAACACACACAGUCAUUAAAGUGAAGGAGAAAAGAACUCUGGAUUUACUAUACCUGAGUAAAGAAGGAGUCCAGUCAGAAUCCCCUGGAGGAUUCUGUUUCUCUGGAAACAGAUAGCAUGGAGGGAGCAAUACAGACUACAUGACCCAGAAAAUGAAAGGUUAGGGAAUAAACAGUUAUAUAGCACCUACUAUGUGCCAAGCAUUAUGCUAAGGGCUUCACAGUUAUUUCAUUUGAUCUUCCCAUCCUGCAUGUGCAGGAAAGAAAUCCAUCCCUAUCUAGAAAAUCUUUAGAAAUUGGCUACAUUAGCUAAAUGAAGGAGGAUGUGGAAGAAAUUCUAACGUUUUUCCACCCAGUAUCAUUGCCUCUUAAGUAGAGAUUUCAGAGUGCAGGCAGAUUACUUAGGACAUUCAACUAGUCCCUCUCUGUCAAAAUGAGGGAAACUGGAAAGUUCUUAUCCUUAAAGUAAAUAUCUCUGUAGUAAAUUCUCAAGGAAAACCUGAAACCCAGAUAAUAUGUCUUUCAGAAACAAAGCAUCAUGUUUGUUUCCAAAGUUCUAAUAGGACUGAUAAUUUCUGGGGGAGUUGAGAAAAGAACUCUGAGAAAAUCUUAGGAUUUAAUACAGUGAUGACAAGAUUUUCUUUGAACCCCUUCUCCCCAUAGAACAUCCAGUAUGAAACCAAUGGAAGAAGCUCCUCACUUAUGAGCAGAGUUGAUACCAAUUGACAAAUAUUAGCCUAUAUCAGUUAAAUUAUAUAUUUUUUUGGAAAAACAAAUAAACAGUUCAAAAGUCUCAGUAACCAUAGCAUUUCCCUAAGAGAUUAGUCAGGUAUAUAUCUGAAAUAUAACACUGGAUGGUUUCUAAUAAUAAUUUCUGAGUCUCAGAAGGACUUUUUGUAGCUAUUUACCUAGCAAUCAAGUGUUGAUUUAAUUUUUCCUCUAAUUGUUGGCUUAAUAACAUUGAAAAUUGGAAUGUUGAUACUUUAGAACAGAUACUCUGAUCCUAAAUUUAGUUCCCAAAAUAAUGCUCUGGAAACUCUUAUAGUAGUUAAUAUCCUGACCCUUAUGAUGACCCCAGGACUACAGUUUAUAUACGGGAAUGAUGGGGUGCUUGGGUGCUUAUGCUUGUACUUGGACCCCAAUUUCUCCCCAGCCUCAGAAACACUAU
Non-coding RNA from Phascolarctos cinereus (koala), 3177 nucleotides. The record is from RefSeq and is a predicted model, not a curated record. Lineage: Eukaryota; Metazoa; Chordata; Mammalia; Diprotodontia; Phascolarctidae.